CUACGGGUUGCUGCAGUGAGGAAUAUUGCGCAAUGGGGGAAACCCUGACGCAGCGACGCCGCGUGGAGGAUGACGCAUUUCGGUGUGUAAACUCCUUUUAUAUGUCAAGAAAAUGACGGUAGCAUAUGAAUAAGCACCGGCUAACUCCGUGCCAGCAGCCGCGGUAAUACGGAGGGUGCAAGCGUUACUCGGAAUCACUGGGCGUAAAGGACGCGUAGGCGGGUUGGAAAGUCAGGUGUGAAAUCCUACAGCUUAACUGUAGAACUGCACUUGAAACUUCUAAUCUAGAGUAUGGGAGGGGGAGAUGGAAUUAGUGGUGUAGGGGUAAAAUCCGUAGAUAUCACUAGGAAUACCUAAAGCGAAGGCGAUCUCCUGGAACAUUACUGACGCUAAGGCGUGAAAGCGUGGGGAGCAAACAGGAUUAGAUACCCGAGUAGUC
RNAcentral lists this ribosomal RNA (439 nucleotides) under uncultured bacterium. Its description in RNAcentral is "partial 16S ribosomal RNA". It matches the Rfam family "Bacterial small subunit ribosomal RNA", at positions 339 to 795 of the family's 1533-position model. The record is from RNAcentral.